Molecule: long non-coding RNA, 497 nt
Organism: Hydra vulgaris (swiftwater hydra)
Lineage: Eukaryota; Metazoa; Cnidaria; Hydrozoa; Anthoathecata; Hydridae
Source: RefSeq, a predicted model, not a curated record
AAUCAGUAUUUCUGAAUGUGAAAUGGUUCCCUCAGGUAAUGAUACAAAUGAAGAUACAGAAGAUGAAAAUUUGUUGAAGCGAAAUAACCGCUUUACAUUACCAUAUUUCAUGAGCGAUGAUGAUUUUGAUAACGAGGUUGCUCCUAAUCAAUCCAAAAAAAAAAAUUGGCUUGCAGCAGUGAUGAGGAGGCAGAGACCACAAUAGACAAUUUCCCAUUACUUCCGUCGCCACUAAAAAAAUUGCCUUCUAAUCGGACUUUGAUGACAGCGAAAAAGCAUAAAGUUGAUUUGGAGAUUGAACCAGAAUGUCAGCCUCAAGUAUUGUCAUUUAAAUCCAGUUCCCAGCAGCAUUUCACAAGCUAUGAUUGCAGUAGUAAACCUGUGAUUAGUUAUGACGCUGAUAAUACAUCUGCUUCAUCACAAAAAGUUUUCCAGAAAAAUGUCAUGAAAAUUCUAAAAAAUAUAACAAAAGAACUAAUGGAGAUGAAGUAAAAUCA